This 513-nucleotide ribosomal RNA is filed under the name uncultured bacterium. RNAcentral's name for it is "partial 16S ribosomal RNA". It matches the Rfam family "Bacterial small subunit ribosomal RNA", at positions 28 to 507 of the family's 1533-position model. The record is from RNAcentral.
GACGAACGCUGGCGGCGUGCUUAACACAUGCAAGUCGAACGAAAAGAGGGAAAGAACUUGCUCUUUCCGGAAUUGAGUGGCAAACGAGUGAGUAACACGUAAACAACCUGCCUGCAGGAUGUGGACAACAGACGGAAACGACUGCUAAUACCGAAUAAUUUCCAAGAGCCGCAUGGCAGAUGAAAGAAAAGGUGGCCUCUACAUGUAAGCUAUCGGCUGACGAGGGGUUUGCGGCUGAUUAGCUGGUUGGAGGGGUAACUGACCAACAAGGCGACGAAUAGGAGACGGACCGAGAGGAGGAACGGCCACACUGGAACUGAGACACGGUCCAGAAUCCUAAGGGAGGCAGCAGGGGGGAAUCUUACGCCAUGGGCGAAAGCCUGACGGAGAAACGACGGGUGAGGGAUGGCGGCCUUAGGGUUGUAAAACUCUUUGAUCCCGGAAGGAAAGGCAGAGUGAGAAGAACAACCUGCAUUGACGGUACCGGAAAAGAAAGCCACGGCUAACUACGUG